Molecule: ribosomal RNA, 482 nt
Filed under: uncultured bacterium
Lineage: Bacteria
Description: partial 16S ribosomal RNA
Rfam family: Bacterial small subunit ribosomal RNA
Source: RNAcentral
AUUGAACGCUGGCGGCAUGCCUUACACAUGCAAGUCGAACGGUAACAGGUCUUCGGAUGCUGACGAGUGGCGAACGGGUGAGUAAUACAUCGGAACGUGCCCGAUCGUGGGGGAUAACGGAGCGAAAGCUUUGCUAAUACCGCAUACGAUCUACGGAUGAAAGCAGGGGACCGCAAGGCCUUGCGCGGACGGAGCGGCCGAUGGCAGAUUAGGUAGUUGGUGGGAUAAAAGCUUACCAAGCCGACGAUCUGUAGCUGGUCUGAGAGGACGACCAGCCACACUGGGACUGAGACACGGCCCAGACUCCUACGGGAGGCAGCAGUGGGGAACUUUGGACAAUGGGCGAAAGCCUGAUCCAGCCAUGCCGCGUGCAGGAUGAAGGCCUUCGGGUUGUAAACUGCUUUUGUACGGAACGAAAAGACUCUUUCUAAUAAAGAGGGUCCAUGACGGUACCGUAAGAAUAAGCACCGGCUAACUACGUG